CGGCGAUGUCCGAAUGGGGAAACCCAGUGCAAUUCGUUGCACUAUCGUUAACUGAAUACAUAGGUUAACGAGGCGAACCGGGGGAACUGAAACAUCUAAGUACCCCGAGGAAAAGAAAUCAACCGAGAUUCCCCCAGUAGCGGCGAGCGAACGGGGAGCAGCCCAGAGUCUGAAUCAGCUUGUGUGUUAGUGGAACGGUCUGGAAAGUCCGACGGUACAGGGUGAUAGUCCCGUACACCAAAAUGCACAGGUUGUGAACUCGAAGAGUAGGGCGGGACACGUGGUAUCCUGUCUGAAUAUGGGGGGACCAUCCUCCAAGGCUAAAUACUCCUGACUGACCGAUAGUGAACCAGUACCGUGAGGGAAAGGCGAAAAGAACCCCGGCGAGGGGAGUGAAAAAGAACCUGAAACCGUGUACGUACAAGCAGUGGGAGCACCUUCGGGUGUGACUGCGUACCUUUUGUAUAAUGGGUCAGCGACUUAUAUUCUGUAGCAAGGUUAACCGUAUAGGGGAGCCGCAGGGAAACCGAGUCUUAACUGGGCGUUAAGUUGCAGGGUAUAGACCCGAAACCCGGUGAUCUAGCCAUGGGCAGGUUGAAGGUUGGGUAACACUAACUGGAGGACCGAACCGACUAAUGUUGAAAAAUUAGCGGAUGACUUGUGGCUGGGGGUGAAAGGCCAAUCAAACCGGGAGAUAGCUGGUUCUCCCCGAAAGCUAUUUAGGUAGCGCCUCGUGAAUUCAUCUUCGGGGGUAGAGCACUGUUUCGGCUAGGGGGUCAUCCCGACUUACCAACCCGAUGCAAACUACGAAUACCGAAGAAUGUUAUCACGGGAGACACACGGCGGGUGCUAACGUCCGUCGUGAAGAGGGAAACAACCCAGACCGCCAGCUAAGGUCCCAAAGUCAUGGUUAAGUGGGAAACGAUGUGGGAAGGCACAGACAGCCAGGAUGUUGGCUUAGAAGCAGCCAUCAUUUAAAGAAAGCGUAAUAGCUCACUGGUCGAGUCGGCCUGCGCGGAAGAUGUAACGGGGCUAAACCAUGCACCGAAGCUGCGGCAGCGACACUAUGUGUUGUUGGGUAGGGGAGCGUUCUGUAAGCCUGCGAAGGUGACCUGUGAGGGUUGCUGGAGGUAUCAGAAGUGCGAAUGCUGACAUAAGUAACGAUAAAGCGGGUGAAAAGCCCGCUCGCCGGAAGACCAAGGGUUCCUGUCCAACGUUAAUCGGGGCAGGGUGAGUCGACCCCUAAGGCGAGGCCGAAAGGCGUAGUCGAUGGGAAACAGGUUAAUAUUCCUGUACUUGGUGUUACUGCGAAGGGGGGACGGAGAAGGCUAUGUUAGCCGGGCGACGGUUGUCCCGGUUUAAGCAUGUAGGCUGNAAAUCGUACCCCAAACCGACACAGGUGGUCAGGUAGAGAAUACCAAGGCGCUUGAGAGAACUCGGGUGAAGGAACUAGGCAAAAUGGUGCCGUAACUUCGGGAGAAGGCACGCUGGUGUGUAGGUGAAGUCCCUGCGGAUGGAGCUGAGACCAGUCGAAGAUACCAGCUGGCUGCAACUGUUUAUUAAAAACACAGCACUGUGCAAACACGAAAGUGGACGUAUACGGUGUGACGCCUGCCCGGUGCCGGAAGGUUAAUUGAUGGGGUUAUCCGUAAGGAGAAGCUCUUGAUCGAAGCCCCGGUAAACGGCGGCCGUAACUAUAACGGUCCUAAGGUAGCGAAAUUCCUUGUCGGGUAAGUUCCGACCUGCACGAAUGGCGUAAUGAUGGCCAGGCUGUCUCCACCCGAGACUCAGUGAAAUUGAACUCGCUGUGAAGAUGCAGUGUACCCGCGGCAAGACGGAAAGACCCCGUGAACCUUUACUAUAGCUUGACACUGAACAUUGAGCCUUGAUGUGUAGGAUAGGUGGGAGGCUUUGAAGCGUGGACGCCAGUCUGCGUGGAGCCAACCUUGAAAUACCACCCUUUAAUGUUUGAUGUUCUAACGUUGGCCCCUUACCGGGGUUGCGGACAGUGUCUGGUGGGUAGUUUGACUGGGGCGGUCUCCUCCCAAAGCGUAACGGAGGAGCACGAAGGUUAGCUAAUCCUGGUCGGACAUCAGGAGGUUAGUGCAAUGGCAUAAGCUAGCUUGACUGCGAGCGUGACGGCGCGAGCAGGUGCGAAAGCAGGUCAUAGUGAUCCGGUGGUUCUGAAUGGAAGGGCCAUCGCUCAACGGAUAAAAGGUACUCCGGGGAUAACAGGCUGAUACCGCCCAAGAGUUCAUAUCGACGGCGGUGUUUGGCACCUCGAUGUCGGCUCAUCACAUCCUGGGGCUGAAGUAGGUCCCAAGGGUAUGGCUGUUCGCCAUUUAAAGUGGUACGCGAGCUGGGUUUAGAACGUCGUGAGACAGUUCGGUCCCUAUCUGCCGUGGGCGCUGGAGAAUUGAGGGGGGCUGCUCCUAGUACGAGAGGACCGGAGUGGACGCAUCACUGGUGUUCGGGUUGUCAUGCCAAUGGCACUGCCCGGUAGCUAAAUGCGGAAGAGAUAAGUGCUGAAAGCAUCUAAGCACGAAACUUGCCCCGAGAUGAGUUCUCCCUGAGACUUUAAGUCUCCUGAAGGAACGUUAAAGACGAUGACGUUGAUAGGCCGGGUGUGUAAGCGCAGCGAUGCGUUGAGCUAACCGGUACUAAUGAACCGUGAGGCUUAACCUU
RNAcentral lists this ribosomal RNA (2685 nucleotides) under Klebsiella pneumoniae. RNAcentral's name for it is "23S ribosomal RNA". It matches the Rfam family "Bacterial large subunit ribosomal RNA". The record is from RNAcentral. Lineage: Bacteria; Pseudomonadati; Pseudomonadota; Gammaproteobacteria; Enterobacterales; Enterobacteriaceae.